GUCAGUUAGGAUGUGGAUUUUCUUGCUCUCUCAAAGGUUCUUUUAUUUAAAUAUGUUCAUACAUUUUUCUCCUACCGCUCUCUUUCCUGAAAGAAUGAAGUUAGAGGAUUAGGUUGCUAAGUUUAGCUCUUGCUGACGCACUGGCCUCUCACUAGCAGUCUCCUCGUGUCUCAGUGUUUCUUUAAGCCUCGCUUUUUUGCUGGUAGACGCACACCAUCACAUCCUACAUAAUAUUUAGCUCUGAGGCGUUUCCAGAUGGGAAGUGCGUUUCUGUAUUUUCAUAGCCGUGUUCUCUACGUGAAUGGACUGGCGUGAAGCUGGGGGCUGACGGCUGGCAGGGCAGAACAACUUCCAGUAAAAGAAGGCACUGAGGUUUAAGUGCUACGUGGGAGCAGUUGCCGAUUUUUGCAAUGGGAGGCUGCAUAGAUUCAAGGACUUCCUUGAGUGCUCCAGGAGCUUGUCAUUCCAGAGACAGAGCAGCCCAGAAGUCCUGGGAUUUACACCUCUAGUAGAAACCCUCAACCAGAGAAGGAUGGAAGUCAAUGGGCAGAGUGCUCGGGAGACCUUUACCUGUUUUACCUGAUUACAUCCUCUGAGACAUGAAUGGAAAGUUUUGAAAAUG
Molecule: long non-coding RNA, 622 nt
Filed under: Homo sapiens (human)
Lineage: Eukaryota; Metazoa; Chordata; Mammalia; Primates; Hominidae
Description: HSALNT0095603
Source: RNAcentral